CUAUUUUAUUGCUUUAUAAUCUAUUAGCCUAGUUUAUUAUAAAUUGUUUAGAUCUAAUCGGUUCCCUAGCUCCUUGUGGAUUCGAUCCCUAAGUACUAUGACUUGACCUCUUUUGAUGAGAGUAACACUCUUUAGGGUAAUUUGAGUGAUAUCAUGAAUAUAUCUCUGUCUCUGCAGAGCAUGAUCAAUAUGCUAAAGCAAGACACAAGGAAGGAAUGGUAUAGAAGCGGGGAAUACCCAAAGGUCUCAUUUACAUGCGUUUGGAGAAGAUGUGCGAUCACUGGGUGUUCUACUGAUUUGUAAUGUCAUGAAUAAAUUGUAUUUUUCUUUCUUUUUUUUUUGUCUGCUUAAGAAUAUAUAUGUGUUAUUUGUUUAAUGACAAUUACCGUUUGAUUCAACAUAUCUGAUCCAACGUGAAUUGAGUCUUUUAUUAGAUCAUUCGUACUGGUCACAUGUUUAAUUGCAUCGCUCGAGUUAUUUAGCUCUUUGCAGUUUUGUUUAAAAUAGGAGUAAUGGUGUUGGUGACAUUUGGAGCUUAGGAUGAGGUCGUGAGAAAAUUGUUUUCAGAAACAAAUCGUGAGAGAGAAAAAAAGGGUAUUUGGUUUUCAGACUGAUCAAACUUCAGAGUAUGAACCAAGGGCAAGCCUAUGGAGCAUUCAGCAAUGAAAUACAUAGCAUACUUGCUGAGACAAAAAGUUAAGAAUAUCACAAACAGAUAACUGGUUUUAUGUGUGAC
RNAcentral lists this long non-coding RNA (736 nucleotides) under Brassica rapa (field mustard). Its description in RNAcentral is "long non-coding RNA (BRAP_LNC001106)". The record is from RNAcentral. Lineage: Eukaryota; Viridiplantae; Streptophyta; Magnoliopsida; Brassicales; Brassicaceae.